RNAcentral lists this ribosomal RNA (496 nucleotides) under uncultured bacterium. Its description in RNAcentral is "partial 16S ribosomal RNA". It matches the Rfam family "Bacterial small subunit ribosomal RNA", at positions 29 to 507 of the family's 1533-position model. The record is from RNAcentral.
AUGAACGCUGGCGGCGUGCCUCAUACAUGCAAGUCGAGCGAACGGACGAGAAGCUUGCUUUUCUGAUGUUAGCGGCGGACGGGUGAGUAACACGUGGAUAACCUACCUAUAAGACUGGGAUAACUUCGGGAAACCGGAGCUAAUACCGGAUAAUAUUUUGAACCGCAUGGUUCAAAAGUGAAAGACGGUCUUGCUGUCACUUAUAGAUGGAUCCGCGCUGCAUUAGCUAGUUGGUAAGGUAACGGCUUACCAAGGCAACGAUGCAUAGCCGACCUGAGAGGGUGAUCGGCCACACUGGAACUGAGACACGGUCCAGACUCCUACGGGAGGCAGCAGUAGGGAAUCUUCCGCAAUGGGCGAAAGCCUGACGGAGCAACGCCGCGUGAGUGAUGAAGGUCUUCGGAUCGUAAAACUCUGUUAUUAGGGAAGAACAUAUGUGUAAGUAACUGGGCACAUCUUGACGGUACCUAAUCAGAAAGCCACGGCUAACUACGUG